This 253-nucleotide unclassified non-coding RNA is filed under the name uncultured Caryophanales bacterium. RNAcentral's name for it is "uncultured Bacillales bacterium contains 16S-23S intergenic spacer region". It matches the Rfam family "Bacterial small subunit ribosomal RNA", at positions 524 to 776 of the family's 1533-position model. Lineage: Bacteria; Bacillati; Bacillota; Bacilli; Caryophanales. The record is from RNAcentral.
UACGGAGGUGACAAGCGUUGUCCGGAAUUAUUGGGCGUAAAGCGCGCGCAGGCGGUCCUUUAAAUCUGAUGUGAAAGCCCACGGCUCAACCGUGGAGGGGCAUUGGAAACUGGCGGACUUGAGUACAGAAGAGGAAAGUGGAAUUCCACGUGUAGCGGUGAAAUGCGUAGAGAUGUGGAGGAACACCAGUGGCGAAGGCGACUUUUAGGUCUGUAACUGACGCUGAGGCGCGAAAGCGUGGGGAGCAAACAGG